UGCUCAUAUUUUUGUAUUUCUUCUGUCUCUUUGAGCACAGGUCUUAUUGACACAGUUGAUUCCUGAGAGACAGGAGAUCUUGAAGCAGAGCCUCCCCAGCUCACCUCAGUCCAGGUGAGCUCUUCUGCAGGAGACUUGCCUUGAGGAAAACAGUCCCUAGCAGAGUUGUUUCAAGGAGAGUAAAAUGUUGUGAUUGAGGAAUCAAGCCUGGAGCCUGAAGCCUGAAGCUAAGCCUGGCCAUUGUGAAGCCUACACAACAGCUCUCCAAGAUAACCCACACACAAGGGUAAAAUGAUUAUAUGUUAAGUCAUCGAGUUUGUAGGUGAUUUGCUAUGAACCAUUUUUUUUAGCAUCGUCUUUUGUGGAAUAAUGAGUCACCAUUAAUAAAGCAAAUUACAAAAUACAGGUACACAUUGUCUCUUUAUCUGAACAGCCUAAAGCAAAGCCACUAGCCAAACUCCAUGGAAUGGAAUGAAACUGUUAUCUGGGUUUGAGAAUGUUUCUAAAAUUUUAUUUUUAAACUGAUGCAUAGCAACACAAAUUAUACAUAUUAAUAGAGAAAUGUUUUUUAGUGCAG
Molecule: long non-coding RNA, 577 nt
Filed under: Fukomys damarensis (Damara mole-rat)
Lineage: Eukaryota; Metazoa; Chordata; Mammalia; Rodentia; Bathyergidae
Description: lncRNA (ENSFDAG00000025032.1)
Source: RNAcentral